UACGGAGGAUGCGAGCGUUAUCCGGAUUUAUUGGGUUUAAAGGGUGCGCAGGCGGCACGGCAAGCCGGCGGUCAAAUCGCGGGGCUCAACCCCGCCCAGCCGUCGGAACUGCCGGGCUAGAGUGGGCGAGAAGUGCGCGGAAUGCGUGGUGUAGCGGUGAAAUGCAUAGAUAUCACGCAGAACUCCGAUUGCGAAGGCAGCGCACCGGCGCCCUACUGACGCUCAGGCACGAAAGCGUGAGUAUCGAACAGG
This 252-nucleotide ribosomal RNA is filed under the name uncultured bacterium. Its description in RNAcentral is "partial 16S ribosomal RNA". It matches the Rfam family "Bacterial small subunit ribosomal RNA", at positions 524 to 776 of the family's 1533-position model. The record is from RNAcentral.